GAUGAAGAACGUAGCGAAAUGCGAUAAGUAGUGUGAAUUGCAGAAUUCAGUGAAUCAUCGAAUCUUUGAACGCACAUUGCGCCCUUUGGUAUUCCUUAGGGCAUGCCUGUUCGAGCGUCAUUUAAACUUUCAAGCUAAGCUUGGUGUUGGGUGACUGUCCGCUUCACGGCGGACUCGCCUCAAAAUUAUUGGCGGCCGGUACAUUGGCUUCGAGCGCAGCAGAAACGCGAACUCGGGCCCGUCGUAUUGGCUCCCAGAAGCUAUCUUCACAAUUUUGACCUCGGAUCAGGUAGGGAUACCCGCUGAACUUAAGCAUAUCAAUAAGCGGAGGA
Molecule: unclassified non-coding RNA, 332 nt
Filed under: soil metagenome
Description: partial contains 5.8S ribosomal RNA, internal transcribed spacer 2, and large subunit ribosomal RNA
Rfam family: 5.8S ribosomal RNA (bases 1-120)
Source: RNAcentral